This 479-nucleotide ribosomal RNA is filed under the name Streptococcus parasanguinis. Its description in RNAcentral is "bacterial SSU rRNA". It matches the Rfam family "Bacterial small subunit ribosomal RNA", at positions 28 to 489 of the family's 1533-position model. The record is from RNAcentral. Lineage: Bacteria; Bacillati; Bacillota; Bacilli; Lactobacillales; Streptococcaceae.
GAUGAACGCUGGCGGCGUGCCUAAUACAUGCAAGUAGAACGCUGAAGCUUGGUGCUUGCACCGAGCGGAUGAGUUGCGAACGGGUGAGUAACGCGUAGGUAACCUGCCUCUUAGCGGGGGAUAACUAUUGGAAACGAUAGCUAAUACCGCAUAAAAGUCGACAUUGCAUGAUGUUGAUUUGAAAGGUGCAAUUGCAUCACUAAGAGAUGGACCUGCGUUGUAUUAGCUAGUUGGUGAGGUAACGGCUCACCAAGGCGACGAUACAUAGCCGACCUGAGAGGGUGAUCGGCCACACUGGGACUGAGACACGGCCCAGACUCCUACGGGAGGCAGCAGUAGGGAAUCUUCGGCAAUGGGGGCAACCCUGACCGAGCAACGCCGCGUGAGUGAAGAAGGUUUUCGGAUCGUAAAGCUCUGUUGUAAGAGAAGAACGAGUGUGAGAGUGGAAAGUUUCACACUGUGACGGUAACUACCAAAAA